UUUUGUCAUUUGAAGAAUAUUAUAUAAAUGCAAUUGUGCAGCCCCCUUUUAAACCUAUAGCUCCACACUCACACACAUAUAUAUGGAAGUCUAAUUGGAUGCAUUUAUGAAUUUUCUGGACCAUCAAAUGGCAGGAGUUCUAUAGCUUGAUUUUCCCCAGUUAUUUUCUUCUGAGCUCUUUGCUGGCCUGUAUAGGAUGUCAGUCAGCACUUUCUUCUUCCUCAUCUUCUUUACCCAGGCAGCACUGGGGACUAGGAGAAAUGUUUCUUCUCUGGUGAGUGGAUUGAAACUUUGUUGCCACCACACUCCUCCGUGGUCAGCCUAUGCUUACGGCAGCAGAAACUCAACUUGCAUUUCCAACAUGCAGAAGAGUUGCAAAUCUUAAGAAAUGAAAGAUCACAAAAUUCCCAAGGACUAUUGAUAGAUAAAUGCAUAAUGUGCCAGCAAUAGAAUCACACGAUCUUGGAGUCAUAUGGGAAUGUGAAUACCAUUUUGCCCCUCCUCUCCCCCUUGUGAAGGAUGCACUCACACGGAUCCAGCCCUCAAAGGAAUCAAAGGCUACUCCCUGCCUACUUCACCAUCACCCAAGCCACGCUCAUUCCAAUGAUCCUGGGAACACAGCCACCCACAUGGGAAUGGAAUGAAGACUAAAGAUAGAAGGAUGAGCCAGUAUCUGUUAUAGAUGGAUAACGUGGUGUAGUGGAAACAGCACUGGGUCAGGUGGAACACCUGUCUCAGCAUGGAUUGAUAAGCAGUGUGUAGGUCUGUGCCCAAGAUCUGAAUUGGUGAACCCGGGCCGCCGAAGAGGAGCUCAUGAACUUAAUCGCUGUGCCAUCAGGCCAGCCCCUGAAGUUACUUUUUGAUGCACCAUCAAUGGUUUAUCUUUUACCUAUACUCUUCCUAAAUAAAAAAUAAUUAACUAUUUACUCCAAGUUAAUUUCUAAGAAAUGGAUCGAAAACCAAGUCUGGACCUUGGUGAUUCCAGAAUUAUCUGGAAAAAUAACCUUCUCUCUUUUAUUAGCAGUUUACUUUUCCAAUAGAAAUGCUAAGACCUGGAAACAUUUUCUAAGUAUCAGUUACUCGAAGGACAGACAGAUGGCUCAGUUCCUAAGGAGAGUGGAAUAGACAAUGCUCAUGGAUAAUGAAAUGGUACAUUCCCUGUGCUUCAAUAAAAAUCUU
Molecule: non-coding RNA, 1179 nt
Organism: Equus caballus (horse)
Lineage: Eukaryota; Metazoa; Chordata; Mammalia; Perissodactyla; Equidae
Source: RefSeq, a predicted model, not a curated record